UAUUACCGCGGCUGCUGGCACGGAGUUAGCCGGUGCUUCCUUUGGUGGUACCGUCAGCUCCAUGGAAUAUUAAUCCAUGGAGGGUUCUUCCCACCUGACAGAGCUUUACGACCCGAAAGCCUUCUUCACUCACGCGGCAUGGCUGCGUCAGGGUUUCCCCCAUUGCGCAAGAUUCCUCACUGCUGCCUCCCGUAGGAGU
This 199-nucleotide ribosomal RNA is filed under the name delta proteobacterium S2650. RNAcentral's name for it is "partial 16S ribosomal RNA". The record is from RNAcentral. Lineage: Bacteria; Deltaproteobacteria.